CAGAGACUCACUCUGCAGACUGUCUGGUUGCCAAAGAACCAGUAACAAUGUACCCCAUAUAAUCAGUUGACCAAUCAAUAGAGAAACAGGUUACUAAAGCAGAAAUGGUGAAUGGGUGUGGCCCAUCUCCAAAAGGGCUUAAGAACAUUUGGAGUUGCUGUUUAUCUGUCUGUCUGUGACAAGCUAAGUUAACUAACACACGAGGUUUCCAUGAGCUUCAUUCUGUUCAACUCUCUCUGCUAUCAUCGCGAUAAGUAUCCAACUCCUGUUUCCAGACAUUUCCACAUGAUACUUGCUACAUACAAAACAAACACAGAGAAAAACCAGGAAAAUUUCACAUUCAGACAUGUUUGCUGCAAGGGAUAGAAGAUACAACUAGCAGUUAUCUUCACAGCUGAACACAUCCUAGUAAAAGAUAUUUUAGCAGACUUUUCUCCCUACUACAAAUUCCACAGAAGGAUGAACAAUAACUAUAACUAUCUAUGAAGAGAGAGACGCUGCAGAAUUGAGCCCUCAAGCUGCAAAAUCUGAAAGAGAUGUUCACAACUGAAGUCAGAGAAACUUAAACCCCAG
Pelodiscus sinensis (Chinese soft-shelled turtle) is the source of this 573-nucleotide non-coding RNA. The record is from RefSeq and is a predicted model, not a curated record. NCBI's taxonomy places the organism in Eukaryota, Metazoa, Chordata, Testudines, Trionychidae.